CGUGUAGGCGGGGAUGCAAGUCAGAUGUGAAAUUCCGGGGCCCAACCUCGGCACUGCAUCUGAAACUGUGUCUCUUGAGUGCUGGAGAGGAAAGUGGAAUUCCUAGUGUAGCGGUGAAAUGCGUAGAGAUUAGGAGGAACACCAGUGGCGAAGGCGACUUUCUGGACAGCAACUGACGCUGAGGCGCGAGAGCGUGGGGAGCAAACAG
This 208-nucleotide ribosomal RNA is filed under the name uncultured bacterium. RNAcentral's name for it is "partial 16S ribosomal RNA". It matches the Rfam family "Bacterial small subunit ribosomal RNA", at positions 568 to 775 of the family's 1533-position model. The record is from RNAcentral.